RNAcentral lists this long non-coding RNA (282 nucleotides) under Phoenix dactylifera (date palm). RNAcentral describes it as "long non-coding RNA (PDAC_LNC015430)". The record is from RNAcentral. Lineage: Eukaryota; Viridiplantae; Streptophyta; Magnoliopsida; Arecales; Arecaceae.
CUUGGGUGGCGGCACUGCCGCUGCCGGCGGCUGCCGGAGAGGAAGGGGCAGAUCCCCCGAAGGAAACGCUUAUAGAGAGGGAAGGAGGCAGGUUCGCCAUACGUGAUGGAACCGAUCACAGCGGAGAGCAAGGCUCUACUCCGGCAUCCUUCUAUCUGAAGCCUUCUGGGCCUUCCACUUCAUUCCCGUUCUUGUUCUGAUAUGGAAACCUGUCGUGACGCAAAAGCUUUUAAAAAAAUAAAAGAAAAAGGAAAUGGGAAAGCUGUAUUUAUAUAUAUUUUU